CGGGUGAGUAACGCGUGAGGAACCUGCCUCAAAGAGGGGGACAACAGUUGGAAACGACUGCUAAUACCGCAUAAGCCCACGGUGCCGCAUGGCACAGAGGGAAAAGGAGCAAUCCGCUUUGAGAUGGCCCCGCGCCCGAUUAGCUAGUUGGUGAGGUAACGGCCCACCAAGGCGACGAUCGGUAGCCGGACUGAGAGGUUGAACGGCCACAUUGGGACUGAGACACGGCCCAG
RNAcentral lists this ribosomal RNA (233 nucleotides) under uncultured bacterium. Its description in RNAcentral is "partial 16S ribosomal RNA". It matches the Rfam family "Bacterial small subunit ribosomal RNA", at positions 103 to 334 of the family's 1533-position model. The record is from RNAcentral.